This 496-nucleotide ribosomal RNA is filed under the name Salmonella enterica. Its description in RNAcentral is "bacterial SSU rRNA". It matches the Rfam family "Bacterial small subunit ribosomal RNA", at positions 1 to 488 of the family's 1533-position model. The record is from RNAcentral. Lineage: Bacteria; Pseudomonadati; Pseudomonadota; Gammaproteobacteria; Enterobacterales; Enterobacteriaceae.
AAAUUGAAGAGUUUGAUCAUGGCUCAGAUUGAACGCUGGCGGCAGGCUUAACACAUGCAAGUCGAACGGUAGCACAGAGAGCUUGCUCUCGGGUGACGAGUGGCGGACGGGUGAGUAAUGUCUGGGAAACUGCCUGAUGGAGGGGGAUAACUACUGGAAACGGUGGCUAAUACCGCAUAACGUCGCAAGACCAAAGAGGGGGACCUUCGGGCCUCUUGCCAUCAGAUGUGCCCAGAUGGGAUUAGCUAGUUGGUGAGGUAACGGCUCACCAAGGCGACGAUCCCUAGCUGGUCUGAGAGGAUGACCAGCCACACUGGAACUGAGACACGGUCCAGACUCCUACGGGAGGCAGCAGUGGGGAAUAUUGCACAAUGGGCGCAAGCCUGAUGCAGCCAUGCCGCGUGUAUGAAGAAGGCCUUCGGGUUGUAAAGUACUUUCAGCGGGGAGGAAGGUGUUGUGGUUAAUAACCACAGCAAUUGACGUUACCCGCAGAAGA